UUUAAAUGUAAAUAUUAUUAACCAGGGUAGUAAUUGUUAUGUUCUUCAAACCCAAAGAAUUUGGCGGUGCUUUAGUCCCUUCAGAGGAAUCUGUCCCGUGAUCGACAUUCCACGAUAUAAUGUACUUAUUUUUGUUUUCAGUUUGUAUACCUCCGUCGUAAGAGAAUCUUUUUAGAGUUUAAUUUUCUUAAUAUAUUAAAUAUAUUAUGUCAGGUCAAGGUGCAAUUUAUAAAUAAGUGGAGAUGGAUUACAAUAAGUUUAUUUAAACGGAUUAAAUUAUUUAAUUUUUUAUGAAGGUGGAUUUGAUUGUAAUUUUAAUAGUUUAUUAUUAUGAUUAUUGGCUCUAAAGUAUGC
RNAcentral lists this ribosomal RNA (354 nucleotides) under Ophiogomphus occidentis. RNAcentral describes it as "partial 12S ribosomal RNA". Lineage: Eukaryota; Metazoa; Arthropoda; Insecta; Odonata; Gomphidae. The record is from RNAcentral.